UGAGAGCUGAGCUGAGGCAGAACGGACACACUCAUGCAGAAGGACAAGUGCCACAUGCCUCCUCGGAGCCUGCUCUGUGUGCUGGUGGUCUUGGCUUUGUCUGGAUGUAAUGUGGCCCAGAAAGUGACUCAGGUCCAGUCAACAGCAAGCAGGCAGGAGGGGGAAGACAUCACCCUGGACUGUUCAUAUGAGACAAGUUAUGUCGAAUAUUAUCUUUUUUGGUACAAGCAGCUUCUUAGUGGAGAAAUGGUUUUCCUUAUUCACCAAAUUUCUUCUACUGCAGAGGAGAGGAGUGGCCGCUAUUCUGUAGUCUUCCAGAAAUCACUCAAGUCCAUCAGCCUUGUCAUUUCAGCCUCUCAGCCAGAGGAUUCGGGGAAGUAUUUCUGUGCUCUCAGUGAAUUGACACAGUGUUUGAAAUGACAGCACAAGCUGAACAAAAACUGGGGCUACUUAAGCAGCGACCCUCUGAGGGAGGGAGCCCAGCUGAGACGCACACCUGCACAUCCUGAACAAGAAGAUCUCAACUGUGGAUGCUCCGUCUGUGUCUGCAUCAGAACUGUGUUUCUAAGUAAAACCUCAGACCAUGCGAUUGAGAAAGAAUUAUGGUGAGCGGCUUUCUAUACUACAUUGUCUUAAAACAGAGUUAAAAAUAGACCACUGAGAAUAUGUGUAAUAUUUUCUGCACUUGGGAAUCUUGCACCGCAAUAAUUUGAAGUUUCUCUUUAAUUUGUUAACAGCACAAACCUCAGAGGAGGCAUCUGGAAUAGCAAAGAACAUAAUUUCCUGAAGAAAGUUGCACUCAGAGAAGGAGAUCCAGCAUGAAUGUAGUAGUCAGAGACAGACUAUAAGGAUUUCUCUCCAUGAAAUACUGGUGGUGACUGGGUUACCCCACCAAUCUUUAUCUUUGUGUCUAGUACUGAGCCUGAGGUACUGAAGGUCAGCAGUUGGGGAGGACAGGUACAUGAGCAUAGCACCUGGCUGUUCUGAGAUUUGUGAGAAUUCAGUGAGACCCAUAAAGCCAAUGGAAUCUAGAAGGAUAAACUUCCCUCACCUCCUCAGUCCCUCUGGUUUGGGGGAGCAUCAGAAGUCAUGCCAUUUGCCAACGUGAUACACACAGACUCGACCUGAAUAAAGAAAAGCUGUAGAAGUGAGGAGUAGAGUGUUAAUGGUAAAGUGAGCUGGAAUCUAAUGGACAUCAAAUAUUUAUGGGGCCUGAAUCUGCAGGGCUAUAUAAAAAUAAUUAAAUAUAUCACACCUGUUUCUUGAGUCUUCUACAGCUGCCUUUUCCAUGUCCACCCCCAAAACAUAGCAACAUGGAGAAGGAAAUUCUGAGUAAUGUGUUUCCAGAUAUGUUUUUAAAGAUUAUUUUUUAAUAUCAUGUGUGUAACCUUUUUGUCAGCAUGUAUAUAUGUGUACUGGGUGAAGUCUGGUGCUCAUGGAGGCCAGAAAGGGAUAUUAGAUUCUGGAAAUUGGAGUUAUCGAAGGAAAGGAUUUACCACGUGGAUG
This is a non-coding RNA of Rattus norvegicus (Norway rat), 1506 nucleotides long. NCBI's taxonomy places the organism in Eukaryota, Metazoa, Chordata, Mammalia, Rodentia, Muridae. The record is from the annotation of a RefSeq genome assembly.